Molecule: ribosomal RNA, 1361 nt
Filed under: uncultured bacterium
Lineage: Bacteria
Description: bacterial SSU rRNA
Rfam family: Bacterial small subunit ribosomal RNA
Source: RNAcentral
AUUGAACGCUGGCGGCAGGCUUAACACAUGCAAGUCGAACGGUAGCAGGAGAAAGCUUGCUUUCUUGCUGACGAGUGGCGGACGGGUGAGUAAUGCUUGGGAAUCUGGCUUAUGGAGGGGGAUAACUACUGGAAACGGUAGCUAAUACCGCGUAAUAUCGAGAGAUUAAAGACUGGGACCUACGGGCCAGUUGCCAUAAGAUGAGCCCAAGUGGGAUUAGGUAGUUGGUGGGGUAAAGGCCUACCAAGCCCGCGAUCUCUAGCUGGUCUGAGAGGAUGACCAGCCACACUGGAACUGGGACACGGUCCAGACUCCUACGGGAGGCAGCAGUGGGGAAUAUUGCACAAUGGGGGGAACCCUGAUGCAGCCAUGCCGCGUGAAUGAAGAAGGCCUUCGGGUUGUAAAGUUCUUUCGGUGGUGAGGAAGGUAUCAACUUUAAUAGAGUUGGUAAUUGACGUUAUCCACGGAAGAAGCACCGGCUAACUCCGUGCCAGCAGCCGCGGUAAUACGGAGGGUGCGAGCGUUAAUCGGAAUGACUGGGCGUAAAGGGCACGCAGGCGGAUUGUUAAGUGAGAUGUGAAAGCCCCGGGCUUAACCUGGGAAUUGCAUUUCAGACUGGCAAUCUAGAGUAUUUUAGGGAGGGGUAGAAUUCCACGUGUAGCGGUGAAAUGCGUAGAGAUGUGGAGGAAUACCGAAGGCGAAGGCAGCCCCUUGGGAAUAUACUGACGCUCAUGUGCGAAAGCGUGGGGAGCAAGCAGGAUUAGAUACCCUGGUAGUCCACGCUGUAAACGAUGUCGAUUUGGGGAUUGGGGUAUAACUCUGGUGCCCGAAGCUAACGUGAUAAAUCGACCGCCUGGGGAGUACGGCCGCAAGGUUAAAACUCAAAUGAAUUGACGGGGGCCCGCACAAGCGGUGGAGCAUGUGGUUUAAUUCGAUGCAACGCGAAGAACCUUACCUACUCCUGACAUCCAUGGAAGUUCGCAGAGAUGUGAAUGUGCCUUCGGGAACCAUGAGACAGGUGCUGCAUGGCUGUCGUCAGCUCGUGUUGUGAAAUGUUGGGUUAAGUCCCGCAACGAGCGCAACCCUUAUCCUUUGUUGCCAGCGAUUAGGUCGGGAACUCAAAGGAGACUGCCAGUGAUAAACUGGAGGAAGGUGGGGAUGACGUCAAGUCAUCAUGGCCCUUACAAGUAGGGCUACACACGUGCUACAAUGGUGCAUACAGAGGGAAGCAAUAUGGCGACAUGGAGCAAAUCUCACAAAGUGCAUCUAAGUCCGGAUUGGAGUCUGCAACUCGACUCCAUGAAGUCGGAAUCGCUAGUAAUCGCAAAUCAGAAUGUUGCGGUGAAUACGUUCCCGGGCCU